GUGGGCCAUGAUGUGGACCAUUUUACAUCACCUGAAGGGAUACCCGGAGUGCCUGAAACUAACUUCAACAAUCGUCCUAACUCCUUCAAAAUACUCUCUCCAGCUCGCACUUGUGUGGCUUACUGUAGAGUUGAAGAAAUGGAAGGAAAUCACAAUAGUGGCGAUCUUGGGGCUGUAAAUGAGACAUUGACAGGUGCCGUGGCAAAGUCAGGGGAUUUUAAAGGUGUCAAUGAGACAUUACCAGCAGAUGCUGUGGCGAAGCAGGACGAUUUUGAGGCACGGCCUUCUUUGGUUGCCAAUGAUGUUGGUCCAACCAAGAAAGUAGAAGCGGAAGAGGUUGAGGAAGGGACAUCAGAUGACUAAGGAAAGUGACAAUCGAACUCCUGGGCUAAUUUUUACACGCG
RNAcentral lists this unclassified non-coding RNA (404 nucleotides) under Hevea brasiliensis (rubber tree). Lineage: Eukaryota; Viridiplantae; Streptophyta; Magnoliopsida; Malpighiales; Euphorbiaceae. The record is from RNAcentral.